AAAGAAAUAUCUAUUUAAAAAGCUUCUAACUUUUAAAAAAGCAAAAAAAAUUGUUUGU
This 58-nucleotide transfer RNA is filed under the name Eropterus sp. UPOL 000580. RNAcentral's name for it is "partial tRNA-Ser". Lineage: Eukaryota; Metazoa; Arthropoda; Insecta; Coleoptera; Lycidae. The record is from RNAcentral.